UAUGGCUCAGGAUGAACGCUGGCGGCGUGCUUAACACAUGCAAGUCGAACGGACUUACUGGAAAAGAGGGCUUGCCCAAUGGAAGGUAAAGUAGUGGCGGACGGGUGAGUAACGCGUGGGCAACCUGCCUUACACAGGGGACAACAGUUGGAAACGACUGCUAAUACCGCAUAAGCCGGUAGUGCCGCAUGGCACAUCCGGAAAAGAUUGUAUCGGUGUAAGAUGGGCCCGCGUUGGAUUAGUUAGUUGGCGGGGUAACGGCCCACCAAGACGACGAUCCAUAGCCGACCUGAGAGGGUGAUCGGCCACAUUGGGACUGAGACACGGCCCAAACUCCUACGGGAGGCAGCAGUGGGGAAUAUUGCGCAAUGGGGGAAACCCUGACGCAAGCAACGCCGCGUGAGUGAAGAAGUAUUUCGGUAUGUAAAGCUCUACCAGCAGGGAAGAAGAUGACGGUACCUGCAGAAGAAGUCCCGGCUAACUACGUGCCAGCCGCUGC
Molecule: ribosomal RNA, 499 nt
Filed under: uncultured bacterium
Lineage: Bacteria
Description: bacterial SSU rRNA
Rfam family: Bacterial small subunit ribosomal RNA
Source: RNAcentral